RNAcentral lists this ribosomal RNA (1996 nucleotides) under Prochlorotrichaceae bacterium LMECYA173. RNAcentral describes it as "bacterial SSU rRNA". The stretch from base 1 to 1470 matches the Rfam family "Bacterial small subunit ribosomal RNA". Lineage: Bacteria; Bacillati; Cyanobacteriota; Cyanophyceae; Prochlorotrichales; Prochlorotrichaceae. The record is from RNAcentral.
UCAGGAUGAACGCUGGCGGCGUGCUUAACACAUGCAAGUCGAACGGAGUGCUUUCGGGCACUUAGUGGCGGACGGGUGAGUAACGCGUGAGGAUCUGGCCUUAGGAGGGGAACAACAGUUGGAAACGACUGCUAAUGCCCCAUAUGCCGGGAGGUGAAAAGUUUUAUCGCCUGAGGAUGAACUCGCGUCUGAUUAGCUAGUUGGUGAGGUAAGGGCUCACCAAGGCGACGAUCAGUAGCUGGUCUAAGAGGAUGAUCAGCCACACUGGGACUGAGACACGGCCCAGACUCCUACGGGAGGCAGCAGUGGGGAAUUUUCCGCAAUGGGCGAAAGCCUGACGGAGCAACGCCGCGUGAGGGAGGAAGGCCUUAGGGUUGUAAACCUCUUUUCUCUGGGAAGAAGAACUGACGGUACCAGAGGAAUAAGCCUCGGCUAACUCCGUGCCAGCAGCCGCGGUAAGACGGAGGAGGCAAGCGUUAUCCGGAAUUAUUGGGCGUAAAGCGUCCGCAGGCGGCUAAUUAAGUCUGUUGUUAAAGUCUACAGCUCAACUGUGGGUAGGCGAUGGAAACUGGUUAGCUAGAGAGUGGUAGGGGUAGAGGGAAUUCCCGGUGUAGCGGUGAAAUGCGUAGAUAUCGGGAAGAACACCAGUGGCGAAGGCGCUCUACUGGGCCAUUACUGACGCUGAGGGACGAAAGCUAGGGGAGCGAAAGGGAUUAGAUACCCCUGUAGUCCUAGCUGUAAACGAUGGAUACUAGGUGUUGGGCGUAUCGACCCGUUCAGUACCGUAGCUAACGCGUUAAGUAUCCCGCCUGGGGAGUACGCACGCAAGUGUGAAACUCAAAGGAAUUGACGGGGGCCCGCACAAGCGGUGGAGGAUGUGGUUUAAUUCGAUGCAACGCGAAGAACCUUACCAAGGCUUGACAUGUCCAGGACCCUCAUGAAAGUGGGGGGUGCCUACGGGAACUGGAGCACAGGUGGUGCAUGGCUGUCGUCAGCUCGUGUCGUGAGAUGUUGGGUUAAGUCCCGCAACGAGCGCAACCCUCGUUCUUAGUUGCCAGCAUUAAGUUGGGCACUCUAGGGAGACUGCCGUGGACAACACGGAGGAAGGUGGGGACGACGUCAAGUCAUCAUGCCCCUUACGUCUUGGGCUACACACGUCCUACAAUGCUUCGGACAGAGGGCAGCGAGCGUGCGAACGUAAGCAAAUCCCAUAAACCGAGGCACAGUUCAGAUUGCAGGCUGCAACUCGCCUGCAUGAAGGCGGAAUCGCUAGUAAUCGCAGGUCAGCAUACUGCGGUGAAUACGUUCCCGGGCCUUGUACACACCGCCCGUCACACCAUGGGAGUUGGCCACGCCCGAAGUCGUUACUCUAACCGUUCGCGGAGGAGGGCGCCGAAGGCAGGGCUGAUGACUGGGGUGAAGUCGUAACAAGGUAGCCGUACCGGAAGGUGUGGCUGGAUCACCUCCUUUAAGGGAGACCUACCCUUGAUUACCCCGAGAUUUGUAGAUAGGGGAAUUGAGUGGUCACUCUAGGUCGUACAGGGAUUAUUGGUGAAGUUUCUAAACUAUGUCGAGGUUAAUCGAUAGAUUAGCUAGGGCUAUUAGCUCAGGUGGUUAGAGCGCACCCCUGAUAAGGGUGAGGUCCCUGGUUCGAGUCCAGGAUGGCCCACUAGUGGGGGUAUAGCUCAGAUGGUAGAGCGCCUGCUUUGCAAGCAGGAUGACAGCGGUUCGAGUCCGCUUACCUCCACCAUUGAGAAGGGAGAGACCUUUUAGCAAAGUAUGAGUUGGUAGGGACCGGCUUGUAGUCUGCUGGGAGAGAUCUCAGCGAGGACCUUGAAAACUGCAUAGUAAGAGAAGAAGUGUAAGGUAGUACACACAGAACAUUACGAGUCAAAGAGUAAUGAGCGCGAGAGAUUGAGUUUAGCGAGGUGAGUAGCGAGAGUUACUGAUUGAGUUAGACGAGGUCAAGCUAUAACGGGCUCACGGUGGAUACCUA